GUUUUAAUAAUUUAAAUAAAAAUAUUGGUCUUGUAAACCAACAAUGAGGUUUCUCUUAAAACU
This 63-nucleotide transfer RNA is filed under the name Kilauella sp. KispEL. RNAcentral's name for it is "tRNA-Thr". It matches the Rfam family "tRNA". Rfam says of the family: Transfer RNA (tRNA) molecules are approximately 80 nucleotides in length. Their secondary structure includes four short double-helical elements and three loops (D, anti-codon, and T loops). Further hydrogen bonds mediate the characteristic L-shaped molecular structure. tRNAs have two regions of fundamental functional importance: the anti-codon, which is responsible for specific mRNA codon recognition, and the 3' end, to which the tRNAs corresponding amino acid is attached (by aminoacyl-tRNA synthetases). tRNAs cope with the degeneracy of the genetic code in two manners: having more than one tRNA (with a specific anti-codon) for a particular amino acid; and 'wobble' base-pairing, i.e. permitting non-standard base-pairing at the 3rd anti-codon position. The record is from RNAcentral. Lineage: Eukaryota; Metazoa; Arthropoda; Insecta; Psocodea; Elipsocidae.